This 72-nucleotide transfer RNA is filed under the name Camelus bactrianus (Bactrian camel). It matches the Rfam family "tRNA". From Rfam's summary of the family: Transfer RNA (tRNA) molecules are approximately 80 nucleotides in length. Their secondary structure includes four short double-helical elements and three loops (D, anti-codon, and T loops). Lineage: Eukaryota; Metazoa; Chordata; Mammalia; Artiodactyla; Camelidae. The record is from Rfam by way of RNAcentral. RNAcentral also lists the same sequence under 3 other names.
GAGGGUACAGCUCAGUGGUAGAGUGUGUGCCUAGCAUGCACAAGGCCCUGGGUUCAAUGCCUGGUACCUCCA